Molecule: ribosomal RNA, 453 nt
Filed under: uncultured bacterium
Lineage: Bacteria
Description: bacterial SSU rRNA
Rfam family: Bacterial small subunit ribosomal RNA
Source: RNAcentral
AACGAACGCUGGCGGCAGGCCUAACACAUGCAAGUCGAGCGCCCCGCAAGGGGAGCGGCGGACGGGUGAGUAACGCGUGGGAACGUGCCUCUUGCUACGGAAUAGCCUCGGGAAACUGGGAGUAAUACCGUAUGUGCCCUACGGGGGAAAGAUUUAUCGGCAAGAGAUCGGCCCGCGUUGGAUUAGGUAGUUGGUGGGGUAAUGGCCUACCAAGCCGACGAUCCAUAGCUGGUUUGAGAGGAUGGUCAGCCACACUGGGACUGAGACACGGCCCAGACUCCUACGGGAGGCAGCAGUGGGGAAUCUUAGACAAUGGGCGCAAGCCUGAUCUAGCCAUGCCGCGUGAGCGAUGAAGGCCUUAGGGUUGUAAAGCUCUUUCAGUGGGGAAGAUAAUGACUGUACCCACAGAAGAAGCCCGGCUAACUCCGUGCCAGCAGCCGCGGUAAUGUAUCG